UCAGAAAGCUGCUCAGCAACUCCUGAAAUCCAGCUCCUACAAGAGUGCUGCCAUGUGCUAUGGAAUUACAACUGAAGGCACAGCACGAGAGGACCUGGAGAGAAGGCUUGGAGCAAGAAUUGUGCAGACUGGACUGGUGGUUCUUCCUGAGCAACCUUGGCUGUGCUGCAGCCCCGACGGACUUGUACAGCUUGCUAAUGAGACUGUCCUGAUUGAAAUCAAGUGCACAUAUAAAUUCAAGGAUACACCAUUUAUCAGAUACGAAGAACGGCAUUGUGAGCUUCCAUAUUUGAUAUUCAUUGAUGACAAAAUUGAAUUAAGAAAGUCACACCAAUACUACACUCAGUUGCAGGUCCAAAUGUAUGUUCUUAAUUUGCAGAAAGCUUUGCUCUUUGUGUACA
Molecule: long non-coding RNA, 401 nt
Organism: Dermacentor silvarum
Lineage: Eukaryota; Metazoa; Arthropoda; Arachnida; Ixodida; Ixodidae
Exons: 3
Source: RefSeq, a predicted model, not a curated record